RNAcentral lists this ribosomal RNA (255 nucleotides) under uncultured bacterium. Its description in RNAcentral is "partial 16S ribosomal RNA". It matches the Rfam family "Bacterial small subunit ribosomal RNA", at positions 524 to 776 of the family's 1533-position model. The record is from RNAcentral.
UACGUAGGGGCCUAGCGUUGUCCGGAUUUAUUGGGCGUAAAGAGCUCGUAGGCGGUUUGGUUAGUCAGGUGUGAAAUCUCCACGCUCAACGUGGAGGGGCCACCUGAUACUGCCAUGACUUGAGUCCGGUAGGGGAGUGUGGAAUUCCCGGUGUAGCGGUGAAAUGCGCAGAUAUCAGGAAGAACACCCGUGGCUAAGGCGGCUCUCUAGUACGGUACUGACGCUGAGACGCGAAAGCGUGGGGGAGCGAACAGG